Molecule: long non-coding RNA, 633 nt
Organism: Grus americana (Whooping crane)
Lineage: Eukaryota; Metazoa; Chordata; Aves; Gruiformes; Gruidae
Exons: 3
Source: RefSeq, a predicted model, not a curated record
CAUCAGGCCAUGCUCUGCCCGAGUUGGAUGGACGCGGACAUGUUUCUGCUGUGGUUAUUUGGAAGAUCAGCUUCUCCCUGGUGCCAGCACCCAUCAAGUCCUUCGCAGCUUCCAACACAUCUCCUGGGACACGAGGACAGACACCGCUGGCAUCACCCCUCUUCCCUAAGGGCAGUAACACUCUUAUGGUGAUCUUGCUGAACGGCAGCAGGGACAUUUCUAUGGAGGAUGUUCACGUGAGGUCCAGAUGAAGCUGGGCUGCUGCUUAUACAUGCCUUAACCCUUGCAUUUAAGCCCUGGAGCCUCUUGGGGAAGCUUUCCUUGGUCAGAGGCAAGGUGGGACACAGGGGGAUUUGCUGACCACACAAUGUGGAUCCAUAGCAUGGUGUUGAGUGUUGAGUCCAAACAAGAGCCCAAGCAGAGUCUACAUCUGGGGUGAGCACUGGAGAGGACAAGGCAGCAACCUGCCAGCAAAGAUGUGUGGGUGAAGGCUGAGCAUCCGCUGCACGGCCCUUCCAAGGCACGCUGGCUGACGCCCGGCUUUGCAGCCAGAAGCAGUAGCAGACACUGACUAAGUCAGAUGUGUCAUGGGGAGAACUGUUACAUCGCUUCUGCCCUCCUGCCAGCCAGCAA